GAUGAACGCUGGCGGCGUGCCUAAUACAUGCAAGUCGAGCGAACAGACGAGGAGCUUGCUCCUCUGACGUUAGCGGCGGACGGGUGAGUAACACGUGGAUAACCUACCUAUAAGACUGGGAUAACUUCGGGGAACCCGGACCAAUUACCGGUUAAUAUAUUAAACCCCUUGGUUCAAUAGUGAAAGCCGGUUUUGCUGUCACUUAUAGAUGGAUCCGCGCCGCAUAACUUAGUUGGUAAGGUAACGGCUUACCAAGGCAACGAUGCGUAGCCGACCUGAAAGGGUGAUCGGCCACACUGGAACUGAGACACGGUCCAGACUCCUACGGGAAGCAGCAGUAGGGAAUCUUCCGCAAUGGGCGAAAGCUUGACGGAGCAACGCCGCGUGAGUGAUGAAGGUCUUCGGAUCGUAAAACUCUGUUAUUAGGGAAGAACAAAUGUGUAAGUGACUAUGCACGUCUUGACGGUACCUAAUCAGAAAGCCACGGCUAACUACGUG
RNAcentral lists this ribosomal RNA (498 nucleotides) under uncultured bacterium. RNAcentral's name for it is "partial 16S ribosomal RNA". It matches the Rfam family "Bacterial small subunit ribosomal RNA", at positions 28 to 507 of the family's 1533-position model. The record is from RNAcentral.